AUCUCUCUAGUAUAAAAAGUACAUUUGGCUUCCAACCAUAAGGUCUAAUUUUUUUAGGAGAGAAA
Molecule: transfer RNA, 65 nt
Filed under: Sagmariasus verreauxi (green rock lobster)
Lineage: Eukaryota; Metazoa; Arthropoda; Malacostraca; Decapoda; Palinuridae
Description: tRNA-Gly
Source: RNAcentral